GGGAAUGUGGCUUAGUGGUAGAGUGCUUGCCUCAUAUGCAUACAGCCCUGGGUUCAAUCCCUCAGUACCA
Molecule: transfer RNA, 70 nt
Filed under: Dipodomys ordii (Ord's kangaroo rat)
Lineage: Eukaryota; Metazoa; Chordata; Mammalia; Rodentia; Heteromyidae
Rfam family: tRNA
About the family: Transfer RNA (tRNA) molecules are approximately 80 nucleotides in length.
Source: Rfam by way of RNAcentral